CUGCUGCUCACUUACUGCGACCCUCACUGACUGGUGCUCAUUUACUGUGACCCUCACGGACUGUUGCUCACUUACUGUGACCCUCACUGACUGCUGCUCACUUACUGUGACCCUCACGGACUGGUGCUCACUUACUGUGACCCUCACUGACUGUUGCUCACUUACUGUGACCCUCACUGACUGCUGCUCACUUACUGUGACCCUCACGGACUGCUGCUCAC
This is a non-coding RNA of Pelobates cultripes (western spadefoot toad), 221 nucleotides long. NCBI's taxonomy places the organism in Eukaryota, Metazoa, Chordata, Amphibia, Anura, Pelobatidae. The record is from the annotation of a GenBank genome assembly.